This is a small nuclear RNA of Aethalodelphis obliquidens (Pacific white-sided dolphin), 107 nucleotides long. Lineage: Eukaryota; Metazoa; Chordata; Mammalia; Artiodactyla; Delphinidae. The record is from RefSeq and is a predicted model, not a curated record.
GUGCUCACUUCUGCAGCACAUAUACUAAAAAAAAAUGGAAUGAUACAGCGAGGGUUAGCAUGGCCCCCGAGCAAGGAUGACAAAUUCGUGAAGCAUUCCAUAUUUUA